RNAcentral lists this ribosomal RNA (465 nucleotides) under uncultured bacterium. RNAcentral describes it as "partial 16S ribosomal RNA". It matches the Rfam family "Bacterial small subunit ribosomal RNA", at positions 338 to 795 of the family's 1533-position model. The record is from RNAcentral.
CCUACGGGGGGCAGCAGUAGGGAAUCUUCCACAAUGGGCGAAAGCCUGAUGGAGCAACGCCGCGUGGGUGAAGAAGGUCUUCGGAUCGUAAAACCCUGUUGUUAGAGAAGAAAGUGCGUGCGAGUAACUGUUCACGUUUCGACGGUAUCUAACCAGAAAGCCACGGCUAACUACGUGCCAGCAGCCGCGGUAAUACGUAGGUGGCAAGCGUUAUCCGGAUUUAUUGGGCGUAAAGGGAACGCAGGCGGUCUUUUAAGUCUGAUGUGAAAGCCUUCGGCUUAACCGGAGUAGUGCAUUGGAAACUGGGAGACUGGAGUGCAGAAGAGGAGAGUGGAACUCCAUGUGUAGAGGUGAAAUGCGUAGAUAUAUGGAAGAACACCAGUGGCGAAAGCGGCUCUCUGGUCUGUAACUGACGCUGAGGUUCGAAAGCGUGGGUAGCAAACAGGAUUAGAUACCCUAGUAGUC